This 460-nucleotide ribosomal RNA is filed under the name uncultured bacterium. RNAcentral describes it as "partial 16S ribosomal RNA". It matches the Rfam family "Bacterial small subunit ribosomal RNA", at positions 338 to 795 of the family's 1533-position model. The record is from RNAcentral.
CCUACGGGUGGCAGCAGUGAGGAAUAUUGGUCAAUGGACGAGAGUCUGAACCAGCCAAGUAGCGUGAAGGAUGACUGCCCUAUGGGUUGUAAACUUCUUUUAUAUGGGAAUAAAACGUUCCAAGGGUGGGAUUUUGUAUGUACCAUAUGACUAAGGAUCGGCUAACUCCGUGCCAGCAGCCGCGGUAAUACGGAGGAGCCGAGCGUUAUCCGGAUUUAUUGGGUUUAAAGGGAGCAUAGGUGGAUUGUUAAGUCAGUUGUGAAAGUUUGCGGCUCAACCGUAAAAUUGAAGUUGAAACUGGCAGUCUUGAGUACAGUAGAGGUGGGCGGAAGUCGUGGUGUAGCGGUGAAAUGCUUAGAUAUCACGAAGAACUCCGAGUGCGAAGGCAGUUCACUGGACUGCAACUGACACUGAGGCUCGAAAGUGUGGGUAUCAAACAGGAUUAGAUACCCGGGUAGUC